Molecule: ribosomal RNA, 253 nt
Filed under: uncultured microorganism
Description: partial 16S ribosomal RNA
Rfam family: Bacterial small subunit ribosomal RNA
Source: RNAcentral
UACGCAGGUGGCGAGCGUUGCCCGGAAUCACUGGGCGUGAAGGGUGCGUAGGCGGCUGGACAAGUCGCAGGUUAAAGCCCGGGGCUCAACCCCGGAAAGGCCUGCGAUACUGUCUGGCUUGAGGGCCGGAGAGGCUGGCGGAAUUCCCGGUGUAGGGGUGAAAUCCGUAGAUAUCGGGAGGAACACCGGUGGGGAAGCCGGCCAGCUGGACGGUCCCUGACGCUGAGGCACGAAAGCGUGGGGAGCAAACCGG